Molecule: small nuclear RNA, 164 nt
Filed under: Chelydra serpentina (North American snapping turtle)
Lineage: Eukaryota; Metazoa; Chordata; Testudines; Chelydridae
Description: U1 spliceosomal RNA (ENSCSRG00000012360.1)
Rfam family: U1 spliceosomal RNA
About the family: U1 is a small nuclear RNA (snRNA) component of the spliceosome (involved in pre-mRNA splicing). Its 5' end forms complementary base pairs with the 5' splice junction, thus defining the 5' donor site of an intron.
Source: Rfam by way of RNAcentral
AUACUUACCUGGCAGGGGAGAUACCAUGAUCAGCACGGUGGUUUUCCCAGCGUGAGGCUCAUCCAUUGCACUGCGGGUGUGCUGACCUCUGUGAUUUCCCCAAAUGUGGGAAACUCAACUGCAGAAUUUCUGGUAGUGGGGGACUGCGUUCGCGCUUUCCCCUG